Molecule: long non-coding RNA, 1135 nt
Organism: Dreissena polymorpha
Lineage: Eukaryota; Metazoa; Mollusca; Bivalvia; Myida; Dreissenidae
Exons: 3
Source: RefSeq, a predicted model, not a curated record
UAAGAAAAGUGUAAGUGAAUUGUUCUUUAACUGUUCGAAUGAAUUCGAUGUUUAAUUAAAUCGGUUAUUUCUUUGAUGAAUAAGUCGUUCCUUUGUCAGUCGAUCAAAGGAUGUCUAUCCACAAAGAAUUGCCUGCUUACAUCCAGUGCUUUAAAAUGGAAGAGAUGGAUUGCGAUGAAUAAAUGUGUUCAGAAUUUUAACUCAUCAUGGAAGCAAAUUAAACUUUACGAAAAUAAACAUGGUUAUUACAUAACUUCGUAGUGUACGAAUGUGAAAGCCUCGACUGUUGCAUGAAUUACACUGAUUUCCAUGGCAAUUAUCACUCGUCUCAGCUAUGUCAACACUACUGUUGCUGGUCUUUGAGUUUAACGGACAUGAAAAUAUGCUGCAACGAGAUAUGGAGGCUGAAUAUCAACAGGGAUGAGAACUACUUUAAUAAAUGCAUGAACGUUUGGCUUGUGGAGCGUGGAUGGAUAUUAAACAUCGGCAUCUCAAUUAUUGUUUUCAUGCUGGCACGAGCUUACAUACGGUACUGCUUUCGCUUUCGACGCUGAGAAAAGAUUGGCUCUGUGUGUCCAAUCUAUCCUAAUGUAUCAAUCACAAACUCUAAAAAAAACUUUACACAAUUAAAAUAAGUAGUGUAAUAUUGUAUUUACUUCAUUCAAAGAUAUCGCGAAUUAAUUUAUUAUAGCACACUAUCUUUUUAGUAAUUGUAGACAAUUGAAUAAUAAGAUACAUGAUAAUUUCAACAAGUUUGAGGUGUUAUAGUUGCACAUAUUUGCAAUAUGUUUUUGCUCAAUACUUUCAAUACAUCAUUCAAUAAUUUAAUUAUGAAGUAUUUGAACAAUAGGCUAACGUUUGAUAAGUGAUACAGCUCUAGAAACAUUAUAUUUUUUAAGUUAAAAAAGAAGCUUAGUCACAAUUACAUUAGAUUGACACCAAACCAAGAUAUAUUUCUUUAUUGAAAAUAAUCGAGCACCAUUCAGUAGUUUCUUUAUUCAGGUUGGAAUGCUAAUACAUCUAAGCAAAGCGUCUACGAUGUUUAACUUGUCAACUUAUGACGGAAUUAAACACGGUUGUUCUCAUUUACAAUUAAGGUUUAUUAUCUUUUUGAAUAAACCGUUAUUUUCAAUAA